CUGCUUUGAAAUUGAGGCAAUCGUUUUCAGCCGGAUGGUUACCCCCUGUGCUAGUGGAAGAUGUGACUUUGAAGACAGUCAUUGUAAAAGGUGCAAAAGGCUUGUCUAAGAUAAGCUGGCAGUCUACACCGCAUGGCCUGCGUUGCUGACAUUAAGUGAAGUUAAUGCAGAGUUCCUGUGCCUGACAGAUACUUGAGGAAGCAUCUUGGAGGUUGUCAAGGAGAAGGGAGGCGUUGCCAGAAGGAAGGACUGGAGUGGCGAAGUGAUCCAAAGGCAGACUGCACAUCUACGUAUAUGAUUUGCAAGGAACAUCCCGUGCCAGAGACUGUGAUACAAGGCAUGGAGCUGUACAGUGAACUCGGAGCAUCUCUUGUGCAUGUGUGAUGCUGUUUGGACUCGGUUACCGGUAUAUACCCUCAAUCUCAACUCUGUGGAUUUGGAUUUACAAUUUUAAGUAUCCAGAUGAACUGAAAUAUAUGUUCUGGUGAAUUUGGAAAAUAUGCCCAAAAGGUCCAAUCACUAUAAACUACAGUAAAUAUGUUGGACACUGGCAAUCUCAGGUUCUAAGCCAUUGUAUAAAAGGACAAUCCAUCGCAUUUCUAUUAAUACUUUUGUGUGCUGUUCUCUGAUCUGAGUUGAUGAUUUUUUUGUCCUUUUUUGUCUUUUGUCAGCAUGGCAUUGAGUAUCAUUGAGGGGCUUUUUUCUAAACAUUGGCUAUGCAGAUUAAAAGAUGAGCACUAUAAGGAAAGGCGUAAUAACGCCUCAGUAGCACUUCAUGGACACAUUGAUAUCAUAAUUAAAAACAUUUCUCUCUCCCUCUCCUCCCCCACUUUGAGAAAGAAUCAAAGAGUCAAAAGUGCUCCUGCGGGCAGUUGGUUAAUUCUAAAAUGUCCAUUCACAAAUAACAUCUUUUUCAUGAAUGUCUAAGUAAAUAAGUGAGUAAAUAGACACAUACUGUUCUGAUGAGAGUAUGCUUUUCGGCCAAAGAUAUCUGACUGCAUAUCUGACCCAAGGGAUUAUGACAUUACUUAGAAUUUGAUGGUGGUUGUAAGCAUUCAUGAAAAAGAUGACAUUUCUGAACAGGCCACAUUAAUUAAUGUGUUACAGUACACUGAUAAUUUCAGGUUUUCUGUUUAAUUUCUGUUUAAUCAUACGAUUAUAUUGUCAAGAUUUUGGUGUUUUAUUGUCGUUUGACUGCAUGUUU
Engraulis encrasicolus (European anchovy) is the source of this 1204-nucleotide long non-coding RNA. RefSeq lists it as uncharacterized. Lineage: Eukaryota; Metazoa; Chordata; Actinopteri; Clupeiformes; Engraulidae. The record is from RefSeq and is a predicted model, not a curated record. The transcript has 5 exons.